CACAUUUUUUGAAGCAACCAUGCCAUUGUAACUUGCUUCUAAAAGUCUUUGAGUAAUUUAAGUGUUGUAACUUUUUCUUUUUUUUUUCUUUUUUUACAGGACUGGUACUUGUACUAAGUGCAGUGCAGUACCAGGUGAGCUACCAUGCCAUACAUAUGUGAUGAAAAUGUCAAAAUAAUAUUAUAAUCAUAAUUUGUUUAAAAAGGAAUAAAAACUGUUGUUUUUUUUAUUGCCGCUUGUAUUCAUUCCAGCUGGAAACUUGCAGUGGAUUGCAUUGCUACGUUUUUCAAAAACAGAAUCCCAAAGAGCUCCACUUGAGGUGUUCUGGAUGGAUAAAGACAUUUUAUAGGAAUAAACCAAUUUUAUCUCUCAAGUCUUUAAUUAAGCUUCUCUCACAAAGUCAAGCCAUAGGGAUAGUGACACAUCCCCAUCUUCUAAUGGCUUGAGUGAUGCACCUGCACCUCCAAAAACAACACAGAUGCCCUUGCAGAUGCACAAUGAGGUCGUAGAUUGGAAUUCAGCCAUCCAUCCCUCCAGAAACUCCUGUUCUCAACCAUCCUCCAUUUUUAUUCAUAACAAGGCCUCCGUUGGCUGAGGGGUGACUGGUACAAUGGCCAGCGUGUAUGUGACUGCUCUAUCACCUGAGAAAGGCCUUGUGAGCGACACUCUGAGGAACUAGUAAAUGAACACAUUAAAGAGUAGUGGGGACACAGCUGCAGCAAUAAAGUGAGAAGCUUCUCUCACAUGAUCCUUCACUAUAAUGGCCUUCUGAAGGACCUGGGAGGUUAAUUAUGGAUUUGAGACUUGCACCCAAAUACUUUGGCAGAGAUUCUCCCUGUCCACCACACUUGCCGCGGCAACCAUUCAACUUCCUCAAUUAUGUGCCUGUGGAUGGAAGGAGGCAUUUACUCACACAUGAUUUUCUAUGAAUACCAAUGGCUGUGUUUUGCAUAAUGCAAUUAGAGCCAACAAUGGCUCCGUAAUCUGACGCAUACUGCUGUAAACACAUAUUUGCUUUUAUAUAGAGAUGAUUUCACCUCAGCAGUUUGGAGGUUUGGUCUUGCUUCAUUAUAAUAAAAGUUUCCAAUUCUGAAG
Long non-coding RNA from Cyprinus carpio carpio, 1095 nucleotides. The record is from Ensembl. NCBI's taxonomy places the organism in Eukaryota, Metazoa, Chordata, Actinopteri, Cypriniformes, Cyprinidae.